AAACCGAGGCUAAAACCGCAUGAGACCACGGCCUGGCAUCAGGCUGUGAUCAAAAAGUAGGGACCGCAAGGCCUGCUGUUUGAAGAUGAGCUCGCGUCCUAUCAGUUAGUUGGCGGGGUAACGGCCCACCAAGACUUUUGACGGGUAGCUGGUCUGAGAGGAUGGUCAGCCACAUUGGGACUGAGACACUGCCCAGACUCCUACGGGAGGCUGCAGUCGAGGAUCUUUUGCAAUGCCCGAAAGGGUGACAAUGCGACGCCGCGUGUGUGAUGAAGGUCUUCGGAUCGUAAAACACUGUCGGCCGGGAGGAAUCUCUGGAGCCAUAACAUGGCUAUCAGGGUGACAGUACCGGCAAAGGAAGCCACGGCUAACUCCGUGCCAGCAGCCGCGGUAAUACGGAGGUGGCAGGCGUUACUCGGAUUGAUUGGGUGUAAAGGGCGUGUAGGCGGUGCGUUAAGUCGAGUGUGGAAUCCCAUGGCUCAACCAUGGAACUGCAUUCGAAACUGACGUGCUUGAGUGUUGGAGAGGAAAGCGGAAUUCCCGGUGUAACAGUGAAAUGUGUAGAUAUCGGGAGGAACACCAGUGGCGAAGGCGGCUUUCUGGACAACUACUGACGCUGAAACGCGAGAGCUAGGGGAGCAAACAGGAUUAGAUACCCUGGUAGUCCUAGCCGUAAACGAUGUGCACUAGGUGUCGGGCCCUCUGGGCUCGGUGCCGCAGU
Molecule: ribosomal RNA, 721 nt
Filed under: uncultured organism
Description: bacterial SSU rRNA
Rfam family: Bacterial small subunit ribosomal RNA
Source: RNAcentral